Molecule: transfer RNA, 75 nt
Filed under: Patescibacteria group bacterium
Lineage: Bacteria
Description: tRNA-Asn
Rfam family: tRNA
About the family: Transfer RNA (tRNA) molecules are approximately 80 nucleotides in length. Their secondary structure includes four short double-helical elements and three loops (D, anti-codon, and T loops).
Source: RNAcentral
UCUCCUGUAGUUUAAUUGGCAAAACAUUACGCUGUUAACGUAAAGUUGUAGGUUCGAAUCCUACUGGGAGAGCCA